RNAcentral lists this ribosomal RNA (450 nucleotides) under uncultured bacterium. RNAcentral's name for it is "partial 16S ribosomal RNA". It matches the Rfam family "Bacterial small subunit ribosomal RNA", at positions 354 to 796 of the family's 1533-position model. The record is from RNAcentral.
GUCGAGAAUAAUUCACAAUGGGGGAAACCCUGAUGGUGCAACGCCGCGUGGAGGAUGAAGGUCUUCGGAUUGUAAACUCCUGUCAUCUGGGAGUAAGACCUGACGGUGAAUAGCCGGCAGGGUUGAUAGUACCAGAAGAGGAAGGGACGGCUAACUUCGUGCCAGCAGCCGCGGUAAUACGAAGGUCCCAAGCGUUGUUCGGAAUCACUGGGCGUAAAGGGAGCGUAGGCGGCGUGGUAAGUCAGAUGUGAAAUCCCGGGGCUCAACCCCGGAACUGCAUCCGAGACUGCCAUGCUUGAGGGUUGGAGAGGUAGCUGGAAUUCUCGGUGUAGCAGUGAAAUGCGUGGAUAUCGAGAGGAACACUCGUGGCGAAGGCGAGCUACUGGACAACAUCUGACGCUGAGGCUCGAAGGCCAGGGGAGCAAAAGGGAUUAGAAACCCCGGUAGUCC